RNAcentral lists this small RNA (14280 nucleotides) under Caenorhabditis elegans. Its description in RNAcentral is "Unclassified non-coding RNA Y92H12BL.10". The record is from RNAcentral. Lineage: Eukaryota; Metazoa; Nematoda; Chromadorea; Rhabditida; Rhabditidae.
CAAAACUACACAUCAAAAUCAGUGGUGGGAGCUGUUUGACUCGAAAACUGGCCGUUAUUACUACUAUAAUGCUUCAUCAAGUGUCACAAAAUGGCAAAAACCAACAGGAAUCGAUAUCGAUAUAAUUCCACUCGCGAAAUUGCAGACUUUGAAGGAAAAUACCGAAGGAGGAGCUGUUUCGAAGGUAGAAAUUGCCGCGGAAUAUCGAGAAGAAAAUCGGGGAAAAAUCGAUUUUAAAAGUGGAAAUAUCGAAAAAAUAAUGCAAAUUGCCGGCGGAAAAUCGAUUAAAAUCGAGAAAUUUACUCGAUUUUUCACAUUUUUAAGUCAAGAAAUUGUGAAAAAAUCAAUAAAUUAAAAAAAAAGAAAAUUUAUUGAAAAUCGGAUCAUUUCUGCAAAAUGUAGCAUUUCUACAGAAAAUAUAUUCAAUUUUUCAGAAAUUGUGUAUAAUUUUUGCUUUAGAAAAUCGCAUUUUGAUAUUUAUGGAUUUUUAUGAAAUAUUAAGCGAAUUUAGCGUUUUGGCAUUUUCGAUGGUAAAAAUUGCCGGAAAAUCGAUUUUAAAAGUGGAAAAAUCGAAAAAAUAAUGCUAAAUUGCCGGAAAAAUCGAAGAAAACUAGAAGAAAAUUCUGAAAAUUUCUACAAAAAAUCGCGAAAAAUCUCUCUAAAAAUCUCAGCAGUUUUAUUACAAAAUUUUAUGGAAUUUUUUGAAAUAUACAGAAUUUUUGUCUUUUUUGCGGAUUUUAUGAAGAAUCUAUUUUUUUUGGAAAUUUUUUUAAACUGCAGUAAAUAUUUAAAAAUCUCAUUUUGAACUUUUUGAAAAAAAAUAAAAAAAAAUUUUUUUCGCAGAAAUUUUCGAUUUUUUAUUAAAAUAUUUGGAAUUUAAUAAUAAAACCGCAGUUGAAAAAAAUUCCAGAGAAAAAUAAUCGAUUUUUCAUAAAAUCACCCUCAAAACGAGAUAUUUUUGUAGAAAUUAUGCAGAAUUUCCAUAAAAUUAAUGGAAUUUCAAUUAAAUUCCAAAAAAAAAAUAGAUUCUUCAUAAAAUCCGCAAAAUUUACUAAUUAAUCUGCUCAAAACGGGAUACUCAUAAAAUUCUCAAAAAAAGACAAAAAUUCUUUAAAUUUCAAAAAAUUCCAUAAAAUUUUGGAAUAAAACUGCUGAGAUUUGACGAGAUUUUUCGCGAUUUUUUGUAGAAAUUUUCAGAAUUUUCUUCUAGUUUUAUCGAUUUUUCCGGCAAUUUAGCAUUAUUUUUCGAUUUUUCCACUUUUAAAAUCGAUUUUUCCCGAUUUUCUUCGACUUUCCGGCAAUUUUUACCAUCGAAAAUGCCAAAACGCUAAAUUCGCUUAAUAUUUCAUAAAAAAUCCAUAAAUAUCAAAAUGCGAUUUUCUAAAGCAAAAAUUAUACACAAUUUCUGAAAAAUUGAAUAUAUUUUCUGUAGAAAUGCUACAGUUUGUAGAUCCGAUUUUCAGUAAAUUUUCUUUUUUUUUUAAAUUCAUUGAUUUUUUCACAAUUUCUUGACUUAAAAAUGUGAAAAAUCGAGUAAAUUUCAGAUUUUAAUCGAUUUUUCCCGAUUUUCCGGUAAUUUUUUUCGAAAAAUUUAGCAUUAUUUUUUUUCAAUUAAAUUCCUUAAAAAAAAUAGAUUUUUCGCAGAAAUUUUCAAUUUUUUAUUAAAGUUUUUGGAAUUUCGUAUUUAAACUAUUCAAAAUUACAGUUUUUUAAAAAGAAAUUUUCAAAAAUAAUCGAUUUUCCUUCAAAUAUUUGUGUUUUUUUUUCAAAAUUUUGCAUUGUCUUGCCCAAAAAAAAAUGAUGAAAAAUUCAAUUUUUUUAAAGGAAUUUUUCAAAAAUCAAAAUUUCCAGAUCCGCCGAACAUGUGAAACUCAAACAUCUCCAUCAGUCCGUCGUGUGAUGAAUAAAGUGAUGAUGACUGGUCCUGUAUUUGCACAGAAUAUAUCACCUGAAACUGGUGUUGUAACGUUUCGAAGUAAUAGUCAAAACUCGCAAAACACGUUGAAUGGGCUUCAGAGCUCUUUUGAGGUGAACAUUUUUGGAAACUGAAUAUGAAAUUAUUUAAAAAUACCAACAAAAAACUAUUGCACUGCAACUUUUUCCUCAGGAGGGACGAGGAAAAGUGGUUUCUAGGCCAUGGCCGAGGGGCCGACAAGUUUCAGCGGCCAUUUAUACUGCUUUGUUUUCCGCCUGUUUUCUUUUGUUUUUCACAGCUUUUUCCCGUUUUUUCUUAAUAAAACUGAUGAAUAAAUACUUUUUGCAGAUGCUAAAACAAUUUCCAAGUAAAAAAAUUAUGUAUUCAGUGGGCAAGCAGCGGUGAAAGUGGUCAAUGCAAUAUGAUGGAUUACGGGAAUAAAAAACCUAAACUUUUUCUGAAACAUGAUACAUAUGAUGCUUAGAUGCUGCAAUUACCUGAUUUUCAUAACGAGACCGCUGAAAAAUUUUGAGGUUUUCAAAAUUCAACUUUUUGUGCGAAAAUCUGGACUUUUUCACCAAAAAAGUUGAAUUUUGGAAACCCUAAAACUUUUUCAGCGGUCUCGUUAUGAAAAUCAGGUAGUCUCAGCAUUUAAGCAGCAUAUGUAUCAUGUUUCAGAAAAAGUUUAGGUUUUGUAUUCCCGUAAUCCAUCAUUUUACAUUGACCACUUUCACCGCUGCUUGCCCACUGAAUACAUGAUUUUUUUACUUGGAAAUUGUUUUAGCAUCUGCAAAAAAUAUUUAUUUAUCAGUUUUAUUAAGAAAAAACGGGAAAAGGCUGUGAAAAACGAAAGAAAACAGGCGGAAAACAAAGCAAGAUAAAUGGCCGCUGAAACUUGUCGGCCCCUCGGCCAUGGCCUAGAUGCAACUUUUUCCUCGUCCCUCAUGAGGAAAAAUUUGCGAAUAUCUGGGAAAAGCACACAAAAAAUUAAAAAAUUUUCAUAGAAAAUGACUUUUUCUUUCGAAAAAAAAAACAUUUAAAAUUGGUAAAAGUAGUUUUUUUUUUUCAAUUUUUUCACUGAAAAAAACCAAAAAAAAUUGCCAUUGUUGGAAACUAUAGAAAUAAAUGUUUAAAAAAUUUAUUUAAUCCAUGAUUUUUUGUAUUUUUCAAAAUUCAAUGUAGAAUUCUGAAAACUCGGAAAAAAUCAAAAAAAAUAAAUUUUGAUUUUUUUUUAAUGGAAUAAUUGGAUUUAAUUGAAGUUUUUCACAAAAAAAUUUCGUGAAAAACAUUAAUUUUUGAACAAAGUUGCAAAAAUUGUCAAAAACUUUGAAAAAAAUCUUUUUUUUUUUUUUGAAAAAAUCUAUAAAAAUUUAGAAAAAAAACAUAAUUUCAAUUUUUUCCCCUUGAAUUGAGAACAGUUUGGAAAAAAAAAUCGAAAUUAUAUAAUUUUUGGAACUAAUAUUCACAUUUUCGCUAAUUUUUAUAUUAAGAGAAAACUUCAGUUUUGAAGAAAAAAAAAUUGCUUUGCCAUGCCCAAAAUUUGCUCAAAUGAGCGAAUUUUGUAAUGAAACUUCUCAAAAAUUAUUCAAAAUUUUUUAUGGUGGUUCAAAAUUUCGAAAAAAUCACACUGAUCUUAGCUAAAAUCCCGAAUUUUGGCCACUUUUCCGUGUCGCAGCCCUUUGGAAGUUGACUUUUUUGAAAUUAUCAUUCUUAAUUGCAUAGUUUGGCAGGCAGUUUAUCCCAUUUAAUUUCGUAAAUAAAGGUAAAUUUAAAGCCGAAUUGGUAACCAAAAAUCAUCGAAAUUGGUUACCUAUCGGCUUUAAAUGUACCUUAAUCAACGAAAUUAAAUGAGAUAAACUACCAAAAUAUGCAAUAAAGGAUGAUAAUUCCAAAAAAAAAAGCCAACUUCGGGCAGAUGCGACACGGAAAAGUGGCCAAAAAUCGAGAUUUCAGUUAAAAUCAGUGUAGUUUUGGUGAAAUUUUAAUUUUUUCUUUUCACCAUAAAAAAUUUUUGAGCAGUUUCAUAACGAAAAUCGUUCAUUCGAGCCUAUUUUUUUGGUCUAUAUGUUUAAAAUCGUAAGUCUUCCUUUAAAGAGCUAUAAAAGGAUCUCAUUCGACAAAUGUGUGUUACUUUUAAAAUGCUGAUGAUGUAUAAGGUUUAAUAUAUUUUAAACAAAAAAAGUUAUGCGAAAUUUGGAAUUUUUCAAAAAUUGAAUAAUAUCGUCUAAAUGUCCCUUUUUUUCCUUUUUUUUUGGAUGAAAAAAUUCGCAAAAAAUUUUCCCGUGGUGGAGAGUUGAACUCAUGUUGCAAAAUCUUCGUUUUUGGUCAUUUUUAGAGCCAUCUGAAAAUGCGCUCAUUAUCGACACAAUCCAAUGUUUUAGUUUUAAAUUAAAAAAAAAAAUUGACUCCUAACUUUUUGAACUGUUAUAGUUGUAUUCAAGAUCUUGUCAUGGUGCAUCGAACCUUUUUUUGGGAUGAAAAAAUUCGCAAAAAAUUUUCCCGUGGUGGAGAGUUGAACGACAUUUUCCCAUUUUCCGUGUCACAUCUGUCCGAAGUUGGCUUUUUUGGAAUUAUCGUCCUUUAUUGCAUAUAUUGGUAGAUUAUCUCAUUUAAUUUCGUCGAUUAAGGUACAUUUAAAGCCGAUAGGUAACCAAUUUUGAUGAUUUUUGGUUACCUAUCGGCUUUAAAUGUACCUUAAUCGACGAAAUUGAAUGAGAUAAACUACCGAUAUAUGUAAUAAAAGACGAUAAUUCCAAAAAAGUCAACAUCGCACAGAUGCAACACAGAAAAGUGGCCAAAAUUUGAGAUUUUAACUAAAAAAUCAGUGUAACUUUUUGCGAAAUUUUGAACCGCUAUAAAAAUUUUUUGAAAAUUUUUUGAGUAGUUUCACUACGAAAUUCGUUCAUUUGAGCACACAUUUUGCGUUUAUAAGUUCGAAUAUUUUGAAAAAAAAAUCUCUAAAAUUCAUCAUUUUUCAGAUGCGAAAGCGAGGAUCCACGUGUCAUUUUCGAGAAUACGCGGCGAGAAAUGAGCUUCCUCAAAGUGCUCAUUAUCAACUACGAUACCACUUUUAUUCAGAAUGUAUCCUAAAUUGUUUAUCGGGUUUUGGAGAAUUUUGGUGCUGAAAAUUGGCAUUUUCAAGUUUUUGAAUUCAGAAAAUUCUUGAAAAAGCGUGAAAAUAACGCAAUUUGAAACUGCAAAAAAUUGUUUCGAAUCGGCUGAAAAUUCGAAUUUUGGACUUAAAAAAUUUGAAUUUUGGACUAAAAAAAUUCGAAUUGUGGACUAAAAAAUUCGAAUUUUGGACUGAAAAAUUCGAAUUUUGGACUGAAAAAACUCGAAUUUUGGACUGAAAAUAUUCGAAUUUUGGACUUAAAAAUUCGAAUUUUGGACUAAAAAUAUUCGAAUUUUGGACUAAAAAAUUUGAAUUUUGGACUUAAAAAAUUUGAAUUUUGGACUAAAAAAAUUCGAAUUGUGGACUAAAAAAUUCGAAUUUUGGACUGAAAGUUCGAAUUUUGGACUGAAAAAUUCAAAUUUUGGACUAAAAAAUUCGAAUUUUGGACUAAAAAUUCGAAUUUUGAACUGAAAAAAUUCGAAUUUUGGACUAAAAAAAUUCGAAUUUUGGACUAAAAGUUCAGCAUUUUUGGUAUUAAAUCUAAAAUUACACAAGUUUAUCAAUUAAAAAAAAAGAAUUUUUUAACUUAAAAAUCGCGCCGAAAAACAUGAAAAUUUCCCUUUUUUUGCACCAAAAUUCCACCAAAAUCCAAAAUUUCCCCCCACCAUUUUUCUGCAAUUUUUUUUAUUUCCUUGAUUAUUUUUCCAUUUUUUAACAAAAAAAAAAUUACCUUCCAUUCGAUCUCACACUAUCUCCCCAAUAUUUUUUUCUGGAUGAAGGAGAUUUCCCGUUUCUCCCGAGCUACUAGUCAUUGAUUUUUCCCCAUUUUUUUUGCCCACAAAAAUCCCCCAUUUUCACUGCAUAAUACUAUUUAUAUAGCCUAAUUCUUCCCAGAAAAAAAUUCACAAAUCAAAUUCAGUUUUUUUUUAAAUUUUUUAAAUUUUAUCCCCAAUUUUUAUCGAAAAUUCGCUUAUCACCUCUUCUGUCCGAAAUUUGCCUUUUUUUUUAAUUUUAAUUAUUUUUCUUUUUAAGUUCAGAAAAAAAAACCGAAAAAAAAUGUAUAAAAAUCAAUAAUAAAUUUGAUAAAAUUAAAAAUUUUUUUAAUUUUUUAAAAAAUUGUUAUUCUGUUGUAAUCUCUGAAUUUUCCUAUUUUUAUUACCAAUUUUUAACUGAGUUUUUCAGAUUUUUGCCAAUUUUAAGGUUACAAAAAAUAUGGAUAUCGAAGAUAUCGUUGGACGAGGACCAGUUGGGAGCAGAGAUGCAAAUGAGAUUAAAAUUCGGUAAAAAUUUGAGAUUUUGUAUCAAAAAAUUGCGAAAAAUUAUAGUUUUUCUGAAAAAAAACCAAGAAAUUUGGGAAAACAUAAUUUUUAAAGUUAUAAAAAUAACUUACCUAUUCGAAAAUUCUCGAAAAUGAUUUUACCUUAUUUUUCUAAAUUUUCUAAAUUUUAAGCUUAAGUUUGUAUAACUUCCCAAAAAAAUUUUUUAAAAAUUUUUUGGUGAAAGCUGUGUUCUCACCUCUUUUUGACUAUAACAUUUUUUUAAAAAUCCAAGUUUUUUCGAAAAAUUGCAGGACAUUUAAAUUUUGGCAGUUUGCCAAUUUGCCAGAAUUUUCAAUUCCAGAAAUUUGCCCAUUUGCCGGAAAUUUUCAAUUCCGACAAUUGGCCUUUUUUUCCGAAAAUUUAAAUUCCGGCAAUUGGCCGAUUUGCCCGAAAUUUUCUAUUCCGGCAAUUUGCCGAUUUGCUGGAAAUUUCAAUUCCGGCAAAUUGUCGUUUUUCCGGAAAUUUCAAUUCCGACAAUUUGCCGGAAAUUUUAAAUUCCGGCGAUUUGCCGAUUUGCCGGAAAUUUUAAAUUCCGACAAUUUGCCGUUUUUCCGAAAAUUUAAAUUCCGGCAAAUUGUCGUUUUUCCGGAAAUUUAAAUUCCGGCAAUUUGCCGAUUUGCCGGAAUAUUCAAUUCCGAUAAUUUGCCGGAAAUUUUAAAUUCCGGGAAUUUGCCGAUUUGCUGGAAAUUUUCUAUUCCGGCCAUUUGCUGAGUUGCCAUAAAUUUCAAUUCCGGCAAUUUGCCGAUUUGUCCGAAAUUUUCUAUUCCGGCAAAUUGUCGUUUUUCCGGAAAUUUCAAUUCCGAUAAUUUGCCAAUUUGCCGGAAAUUUUAAAUUCCGGCAAUUUGCCGAUUUGCCCGAAAUUUUCAAUUCCGGCAAAUUGCCGAUUUGCCCGAAAUUUUCAAUUCCGGCAAUUUGCUGACUUGCCAUAAAUUUCAAUUCCGGCAAUUUGCCGAUUUGCCCGAAAUUUUCUAUUCCGGCAAAUUGCAGUUUUUCCGGAAAUUUUAAUUCCGGUAAUUUGAUGAUUUGCCGGAAAUUUCAAUUCCGGCAGUUUGCCGAUAUGCCGGAAAUUUUCAAUUCCGGCAGUUUGUCGAUUUGCCGAUUUGCCGGAAAUUUUAAAUUCCGGUAUUUUGCCGAUUUGCCGGAAUAUUAAAUUCUGGCAAUUUGCCGUUUUUCCGGAAAUUUUAAACUCCGGUAUUUUGCCGAUUUGCCGGAAAAUAUAUAAUUCAUUUGCAGAACCCGUAAACAAGUGCCAAAAGAGCAACAACCAGACGAUGCAAACGUUGAUUCAAUGGUUCCGGGUGUCGGACAAAAAGUAUGGGUCCGUACGUGGGGAUGUUCUCAUAAUACUUCAGAUUCUGAAUAUAUGAGUGGUCUACUUCAACAAGCCGGAUAUGAUGUUGUUAAAGGUUUCUCUAUUAUAUUUGGAAUUUACUUAAAUGUAACAUUUAAAAAACUGUUCUUAAAAAACCGAAAAAAAAUUUUCAACUAGAAAAAUAUUUUUCUGAAAAAAAGUUCUUUAUUUUGCCCAAAAAUCAAUAACUUUUCAUAAAAAGUAUUUUCGAAAAAAGAAAUGUUUUUAAAGAACGAAAAGAAUUUCCCAAUAAAAAAAAAAUUUAAAAAAAAAACAUUUUCAUUCUGAAUUUUUUCCUUUUUUUUUUCCGAAAAACUGAAAAACAAAAAAAAAAUUAAAAAUACUGAAUAAAAAUUAAUUUCUUGGAAUUUUUUCGAGUUUUAACGAAAAAAAAAGCUGAAAAACGCAAAAAUUUCGAAAUUUCAACCGAAACCGAAAUCUGGGAAAUAUUUUAAAAUGACUCCCUGAUUCCGAAUAUCGAUGUGAAAAAAUUCAAAAAAAUUUCCCUGAUUUUAUAUUUCAGCUUGAAAUCACCGAAUUUCAUUUGUGCCACCCCGUCUAUUUUUUCAAAUGCGCGCCCAAAAAAAAUUUGCGUUGGAGCGCGCUUGCAUCGUUUGAUGUUCUUCAUUUAAAUAUUUUAUUUAUUUUUCGCCGAAUUCAGCUUUUUUUUACCAGUUUCUUUCAUUUUUGUCGAAAAAAAAUUUUUUAGAAAAAUAUUCGACAAAAAUGAAUGAAAAAAAAAAGUUGAAUUCGGCGAAAAAUAAAUAAAAUAUUUAAAUGAAGAAAAUGAAACGAUGCAAGCGCGCUCCAAUGCGAAUUUUUUUGGGCGCGCAUUUGAAAAAAGUGAUGCGGGGGCACAAAUGAAAUUCGGCGAUUUCAAGCUGAAAUAUAAAAUCAGGGAAAUUUUUUUGAAUUUUUUCACAUAGAUAUUCGAAAUCAGGGAGUCAUUUUCGGUUGAAAUUUCGAAAUUUUUGCGUUUUUCAGCUUUUUUUUUCGUUAAAACUCGAAAAAAUUCCAAAAAAUUAAUUUUUAUUCAGUUUAAAAAUUUUUUGCGGGAUAAUGCAUCAGCUAUUUUUAAUUUUUUUUUGUUUUUCAGUUUUUCGGAAAAAAAAAGAAAAAAAUUCAAAAUGAAAAUGUUUUUUUUUUGAAAUUUUUUUUUUAUAUGGCUGCAAUACUAUUUUUCGAUGGCCUUCCCGCUUGCAAUACUAAUAGGGAGGCCAUAUUAAUAGAAGAAAUACAGUAACUGAAAAACAAAAAAAAUUAAUUUUUUAACUGAAUAAAAAUUUAUUUUUAGGAUUUUUUUUUUGAGUUUUAACGAAAAAAAAAGGUGAAAAACGCAAAAAUGCCGAAAUUUCAAAAAUUGAAGUACCGAAAUUUGGGAAAUAUUAUUAAUUUACUCCAAAUUUUCCCCUGAUUCCGAAUAUCUAAGUGAAAAAAAAAUUAAAAUUCAAAAAAAAUCCCCUGAUUUUAUAUUUAAGCUUAAAAUCGCUUGUACACCCAUGAGAUUUCGAAUUUUCGCGCCAAAGAUGCCAUGUGUGUGUCGAUUUACGAAAUUUUAAAUCUUUAUCGGAUGCUGAUUUCCGAUAAAGAUUUAAAAUUUCGUAAAUCGACACACACAUGGCAUCUUUGGCGCGAAAAUUCGAAAUCUCAUGGGUGUACAAGCGAUUUUAAGCUUAAAUAUAAAAUCAGGGGAUUUUUUUUGAAUUUUAAUUUUUUUUUCACUUAGAUAUUCGGAAUCGGGAAAAUUUGGAGUAAAUUAAUAAUAUUUCCCAAAUUUCGGUACUUCAAUUUUUGAAAUUUCGGCAUUUUUGCGUUUUUCACCUUUUUUUUUCGUUAAAACUCAAAAAAAAAAUCCUAAAAAUAAAUUUUUAUUCAGUUAAAAAAUUAAUUUUUUUUGUUUUUCAGUUACUGUAUUUCUUCUAUUAAUAUGGCCUCCCUAUUAGUAUUGCAAGCGGGAAGGCCAUCGAAAAAUAGUAUUGCAGCCAUAUUAAUAGAAGAAAUACGGUAUAUUGGGCAAAAUUUUAAGAAACGGUUUUAUUUUUGAGAAACAUCGAUUUUUUAGUUGGGAAAUUUUUUUAAUUGAGUCCAAAUGCUCCCCUGAUUUCGAAUAUCUAUGCGAAAAAAUUCAAAAAAUUUUCCCAGAUUUUAUAUUUCAGCUUGAAAUCACCGAAUUUCAUUUGUGCACCCCCCCCCCCCCCUAAUUCUCAUUGGAGCGCGCUUGCAUCGUGUCCAGGGCUGUUGCAAAAAAAAUUUUCGACCAAAAAACAAAAAAAAUUCAAUGUUUGAUAUGAAACGGGACAAAACCGAAAAUUUUCAUGAAAUAUUCUGUUGAUUCUUCAUAAAAUAUUAAAAAUUGAACAAACGGAAGGUUUUUUGUUCUUAUUUGUUUAAUUUUGGCUGAAUCAAUGUUGUAAUUUAUUUUUUGUUUUUUUGGUCUCAAAAAACCAAAAAAACAGCCCUAAUCGUGUCGAUUUGCGGGAGCUCUCCAUUUAUUCAAUUUCUUUCGUGCUGCUUUUUUUUUAGUUUUCAGCGUGUUUCUUUCAUUUAUGUCGGUUUUUUUUAACAACAAAUAUUUUUUUAAUAUGAUUUAAUUUAUUAUGAUUUUUAGUCGUUUAGACAAAUAAUAUGCACAACAGGCAAAAAAUAAUAGAAAAAUAAAAAAAAAACCGACAAAAACCGACGUAAAUGAAAGAAACACGCUGUAAACUAAAAAAAAAAAGCAAAACGAACGAAAUUGAGAAAAAGAAAAACAUUUUCUUAUCGAAUUUUGAGAGCAGCAGUUUUUCAGUUUUCCAUCGCUUUUUCGUAUUUUUUUUUCUAAUUUCUAUGCUUUAUUAUAUGUAAAUCGACACAAAAGCUACGGUAGCAUUUAGCAAAUUCUUACUGUAGUUUUCGCUAAGAGAUAUCGCGCGUCAAAUAAAAUGCUCCACGACGUACGCAUUCUCAUGAUUUAUUGUUCCCGUAAUAUAAAAUCAGGGAAAUUUUGCUAACCAUCUGUUUUUGACCAAAACACCAAAAAAUCAGUAAUUACAACAAAAAAAAAUUUAAGUUAAGCCAGAAAAAAUAUGGAAAAUUGAUAUUCUUAGAAAAAUAACUUUAAAAAAAAACCAUAUUUUUUUAGUUUUUUAGUUACGGGAAAACUCAGAUUCUUUGAAGAAAAAUUCGUAAAAAAUAAAAAAAAAAUUAAUUUCCCACAAUAUUGAAAAUUGAUUUUUUGAGCUUCAAUUAAAAAUUUAGAAGUUUAUAAAGUUAGUGAAAAAAUUGAAAAUUCCUGUUUUUUACAACUCUGCUUUUUUCCUUAAAAUUUAAACUUUUUAGGACAAAAACCUUAAAAUAUGGAGGUUCAUAUUACAGCACCACAAAACUCAGAAUGCGUAUUGCACAACAUAUUUGACGCGCAAAAUUAUUAAUAUCUCGUAGCGAAAACUACAGUAUUUUUUUGAAUGACUACUGUGUAGAUUUACGGAAUUUCGAUUUUUUUUCCAAUUUUUGUAAUAUUUUUCGUCAUUUUUGUGUUUUUAAAUAAUAAUUUAUUGAUUAAUAAAAGAUAUUCGUAAAUCGACUGUAUAUAUUUUAUUAAUCAAUAAAUUAUUAUUUAAAAACACAAAAAUGGCGAAAAAAAAUUACGAAAAUUGAGAAAAAAAAUCGAAAUUCCGUAAAUCGACACAGUAGACAUUUAUUUGACUCUAAAUGUCUACUGUGUAGAUUUACGAAAACUACAAUAACCCUCUAAAUUUUAGAGGAUUACUGUAGUUUUCGCUACGAGAUAUUUUGCGCGCGUCAAAUAUGUUGUGUAAUACGCAUUCUCAAAAUUUUUUGGUCCCGUAAUACGGGAUUUUUGUUGAAAAAACUUCCUCAAACUUCCACUUUAGCUGAAAAUUAAAUUUUUCGAUAGGAAAAUUUAUGAUUUUUUAAUUUUUUAAACAGCUAAAAAUUAGAGAAAAAAAAUUAUUUAGAAAAUCAGAAAUUUUUGAAUUAAAUUAAUUUUUUUUACAGACGAGGCUGGGAACUUCUAGCAAUAGUGCUUGCAUUCAUUUUCCCAACAGAAGCGAUCAACGAGAAGCUUAACGAGUUCCUAAACAAGCAUUUGGAUCCAAUAUUCGAUCUUCCAGAAGUCUCAACUUCAUAUUUCUCCCAACAAUGUAUAAAACGGCUGAGCAAAGUGAUUGCUCGACUCAAACCGAGUCUUUCCACAAUUCAAGAGACUAAAAUUCAUAUAUUCCGGCCGCCGCUCUUCUCGGCUUCACUCGAAGAGCUCAUGCAAAUGCAAUCUGAAAAAUUCCCCGAGUUGAAGCUUCCGUGGCUUUUGACUACUCUUAUUGAGCUCCUUUAUCAAUCUGGGGGCCGGAGGACUGAAGGGCUGUUUCGGUACGGGUUUUUGAGUGGAAAAAUUGAGACAAAUUCUAUUUUUCAGCCGAAGUUAUCAGGAAAAAAAGCAAAAAAAUUGAAAAAAAAAGAGAAAAAUGUUUUUUUUUUCAAGUAAAAAAUAUAAAAUUUAGAAAAUUACUUUUAAAAAAAAUUCCAAAAAAGUUGAAAUCAAAUAUUUAUUGACACAUUUUUUUGAAGCAUUCUCUGGAAAAUUCUGAAAAAGCAAUUUUUAAAAUUUAAUAUAUAAUUUUCAAUGUUUUUGUUAAUUUUUUCUAAUAAAAAAAACAAGAAAAACCAAUAAAUUCUUAAAUUUUUUGGAAAAUUGAGAUUUUUUUGACAAAGUGUACGGUUUUCCACAAAAAAUUCGAUUUAAAAAAAAAAUUUUGCUACUGAAAGUCAACAUUAAUUUUUUGUUAAAUGAAAAAUGUUCAGCUUUCAACAAAAAUUAGCAUAAAUAAGAAAAAAUAGGCUUAGUGAUAAGCUUACGCUUAGGCUGAAGCUUAGGCUUGUGCAUAGACUCAGGCUUAAGCUAAGUCUUAGUCUUAGACUUAGGUUUAAGCUAAGUCUUAGUCUUAGACUUAGGUUUAGGCAUUGGCUUGGACUUAGGCUUCGGCUUAGGCCUAUGCAGAGCUGAGGGGGGUUGGAGAAAAAAAAAAGAGAACUUCCCAAUAAUUCCUAAAAAUCCAAAAAAAAUUCGAAUUUCGGAUUUUUUAAUUAAAAAAUAUUUAACCAAAUUCCCAAGGAAAAACCAGUAAAUUUUGAAAUUUUGGAAAAUUAAAUUUUUUUAAAAGUACCGUUUUCCGCAAUAAUUACGAUCAAGGCUGUCAGUUUUUUCGAUUUUUUCAGAAAAUCGAAAAACGAACAUUUUUCGAUUUUUCAAAAAUUAGCUCAAUAUUUUGGCCAUUAUUCUUCUUUUUAGAAGAAAUUUAAAUGUUUUUCUUAUCAAUAAAAACAAAAUUAUGAUAGAUAAAAAAUCAUAUUUUAUGGUUAAAGGUGGACUACGCUCAGUGGAGAAAUUGCUUUAAAACACGUCUAUGGGGCCACAAUGACCGAAUAUCAUGAUAAAAAAAAUUCAAAAAAAUUUUUUAGAUUUUAUAUGAUUUUUUGAAAAUUGGAAAAAUCUCAGUUUUCACCUAAUUAUUUUUGAAUUUCCGCCAAUUGGAUUUGUUCGGUGGAGCGCGCUUGCAUUAUUUUUUAUUAAUUAAUUUUAUUUAUUCUCGUUAUUUGACUGAUUUUCUUCAUUUUCUAUGUUUUUUCCUCGGAAAAUGGAAGAAAUAAACAAGACAAAUAUGCAAAACGUUUGUUAAAAAGUAAUUGAAAAUGAGUAAAAAACUGUGAAAUAUACUAAUUUCAGGCUUGUUGUCGUCGGAACUCAGAAUAUCUGAUUUUUACUCAUUUUCAAUUACUUUUUAACAAACGUUUUGCAUUUGUCUUGUUUAUUUCUUCCAUUUUCCGAGGAAAAACCAUAGAAAAUGAAAAAAAACUCAGUCAAAUAACGAGAAUAAAUAAAAUUAAUUAAUUAAAAUAAUGCAAGCGCGCUCCACCGAACAAAUCCAAUUGGCGGAAAUUCAAAAAUAAUUAGGUGAAAACUGAGAUUUUUCCAAUUUUCAAAAAAUCAUAUAAAAUCUAAAAAAUUUUUUUGAAUUUUUUUAAUCAUAAUAUUCGGUCAUUGUGGCCCCAUAGACGUGUUUUAAAGCAAUUUCUCCACUGAGCGUAGUCCACCUUUAAUUUUCUGAACUUUUUCUUUUUUCGAUUUUUCGAUUUUAACCGAAAAACAUUGAAAAAUGACACCCUUGAUUACGAUAUUUAAAAAUUUUGCGACCUGAAAAAAAAAAUUCGAAUUCGCCCCUAAUUCCACAAUAAGAAUUUCAGAGUUGCCGGGGAUCCAGAACAACUUGCAACAGCUCGAGGACAACUGGACGGUUGGCUCGCCCCAAAAAUGCACGACGCAAAUGUGCCGGCGGGACUUUUAAAACUAUGGCUCCGCCAGCUUCCCGUUCCAUUAAUUCUUCCGACUCUCUAUCAAAGAGCGCUGGUCGCUGCAGAAAAUCCUGCUGAAGCAAUACGAUUAGUCGAUUUAUUACCAGAAAUUAAUCGAUUAGUACUUGUGCGAGUAAUUGCAUUACUACAGGAUUUAAGUCGAGAAGAAGUUGUUGCAAAAACUAAAAUGGAUACUUCUAAUUUGGCAAUGGUUAUUGCUCCGAAUAUUUUGAGG